CUUGGCACUAAGAGCCGAUGAAAGACGUGAUAAGCUGCGAAAAGCUUCGGGGAGGAGCAAAUAUCCUUUGAUCCGGAGAUUUCUGAAUGGGGAAACCUACUUGAGCAAACCUCAAGUAUCCUAACGCCAAUACAUAACGUUAGGAAGGGAACCCGGUGAACUGAAACAUCUAAGUAGCCGGAGGAAGAGAAAACAACAUGUGAUUCUGUGAGUAGCGGCGAGCGAAAACGGAAGAGCCCAAACCAGCGUGCGUGCAUGCUGGGGUUCGGACCGCGGAAUUGAUUCAACAAGUUUAGCAGAACGGUUUUGGGAAAGCCGGCCAGAGAGGGUGAAAGCCCCGUAAGCGAAAGACGAGUUGACAUGGCGGGAUCCAGAGUACCACGAGACACGUGGAACCUUGUGGGAAGAUGCGGGGACCACCCCGUAAGGCUAAAUACUACUUAGUGACCGAUAGCGCAUAGUACUGUGAAGGAAAGGUGAAAAGGACCCCGGGAGGGGAGUGAAAAAGAACCUGAAACCAUAUGUUUACAAGCUGUGGAAGAGCUUAUAUGCUCAACCGCGUACUUUUUGUAGAACGGUCCGGCGAGUUACGCUGGCUGGCGAGGUUAAGGACUAAAGGUCCGGAGCCGAAGGGAAACCAAGUCUGAAUAGGGCGCAUAGUCAGUCGGAGUAGACCCGAAACCGGGUGAUCUAUCCAUGUCCAGGUUGAAGUUGCCGUAAAAGGCAAUGGAGGACCGAACCCACAUCCGUUGAAAAGGGUGGGGAUGAGGUGUGGAUAGGGGAGAAAUUCCAAUCGAACCCGGAGAUAGCUGGUUCUCCUCGAAAUAGCUUUAGGGCUAGCCUCAUACGAGUCUUGCGGAGGUAGAGCACUGAAUUCCUAAGGGGGCGUCAAAGCUUACUAAGGGAUAUCAAACUCCGAAUGCCGUGUAGAUGAUGUAUGGGAGUCAGACGAUCCGAGAUAAGUUGGGUGGUCAAAAGGGAAAGAGCCCAGACCAACAGCUAAGGCCCCAAAAUGUGUGUUAAGUGGAAAAGGAUGUGGGAUUUCGAAGACAACUAGGAUGUUGGCUCAGAAGCAGCCAUUCAUUCAAAGAGUGCGUAAUAGCUCACUAGUCGAGAGGUCCUGCGCCGAAAAUGUCCGGGGCUAAAACACACUGCCGAAGCUUUGGAAUUGAGAAUUCAAUUGGUAGAGGAGCAUUCUUAAAGGGACGAAGCAGUACCGUAAGGAGCUGUGGACUUUUAAGAAGAGAGAAUGCCGGAAUGAGUAGCGAGAGGAAGGUGGGAAUCCUUCCGGCCGAAUAUCUAAGGUUUCCAGAGUAAAGCUGAUCUGCUCUGGGUAAGUCGGGGCCUAAGGCGAGGUCGAAAGACGUAGUCGAUGGAUAACAGGUUGAAAUUCCUGUACUAUCCUGUAACAGAACUGUGGGGACACAGGCAGAGAGCGUGAGCCGGGAAUGGAAAGACCGGUACAAGCGAGGUAGGAGUUCAGUUGGCAAAUCCGCUGAACAAUCUGAAGACGUGAUGUGGACUGAAAAUAAGUAGGGAAGCACGUGAGCUGACUGUCAAGAAAAGCCGCUAUUGUUUGCAGGAUACCCGUACCGUAAACCGACACAGGUGGAUGAGGAGAGAAUCCUAAGGCCGACGGGAGAAGCAUUGUUAAGGAACUCGGCAAAAUGACUCCGUAACUUCGGGAGAAGGAGUGCCAGUAAGAUGGCCGCAGAGAAUUGGCCCAAGCAACUGUUUAGCAAAAACACAGGUCUAUGCAAAACCGAAAGGUGAGGUAUAUGCUGACGCCUGCCCGGUGCUGGAAGGUUAAGGGGAGAGGUUAGCGCAAGCGAAGCUUUGAACUUAAGCCCCAGUAAACGGCGGCCGUAACUAUAACGGUCCUAAGGUAGCGAAAUUCCUUGUCGGGUAAGUUCCGACCCGCACGAAAGGCGUAAUGAUUUGGGCACUGUCUCAACAAUGCACCCGGUGAAAUUGAAAUACCAGUGAAGAUGCUGGUUACCUGCGCCAGGACGGAAAGACCCCAUGGAGCUUUACUCCAGCUUGAUACUGGGAUUCGGUAUUGCAUGUACAGGAUAGGUGGGAG
RNAcentral lists this ribosomal RNA (2083 nucleotides) under Ruminococcus sp. AF27-12AA. Its description in RNAcentral is "bacterial LSU rRNA". It matches the Rfam family "Bacterial large subunit ribosomal RNA", at positions 32 to 2153 of the family's 2925-position model. Lineage: Bacteria; Bacillati; Bacillota; Clostridia; Eubacteriales; Oscillospiraceae. The record is from RNAcentral.